AUGGAACACGUUGAGAAUCCUGUUGAGGGUGACAAUGGAACUCCUGUGAGGAGUAAGAGACAGAGGACUGCAAAGUCCUUUGGUGAUGAUUUCAUUGUGUACCUCGUGGAUGACACACCCAGGACUAUUUUAGAAGCCUAUGCAUCUCCUGAUGCUGACUACUGGAAGGAAGCUGUACGUAGCGAGAUGGAUUCCAUCUUAGCUAACGGUACCUGGGAGAUCACUCACCGUCCUUAUGGGUGCAAACCUGUAGGAUGUAAGUGGGUGUUCAAGAAGAAGCUUAGACCUGAUGGUACGAUUGAAAAGUACAAGGCACAGCUUGUGGCCAAGGGUUAUACCCAGAAAGAAGGUGAAGACUUCUUUGACACUUACUCACCCGUGGCUAGAAUGACCACAAUUCGGGUGCUACUAUCACUGGCUGCCUCACAUGGUCUUCUCGUUCAUCAAAUGGACGUUAAGACAGCUUUCCUCAAUGGAGAGUUGAAGGAGGAAAUUUACAUGGAUCAGCCAGAUGGUUUUGUAGUACCUGGUCAGGAAGGAAAGGUGUGCAAGUUAUUAAAGUCUUUAUAUGGCCUUAAACAAGCUCCUAAAGAGUGGCAUGAGAAGUUCGAAAGAACAUUAACUACUGCUGGCUUUGUAGUAAAUGAUGGUGACAAGUACGUGUACUAUCGCUAUGGUGGGGGCGAAGGAGUUAUUCUUUGUCUGUAUGUCGACGACAUACUGAUCUUUGGAACCAAACUUGAUUUAAUCAAGGAGGUUAAGGAUUUCUUAUCUCGCUGUUUUGAGAUGAAGGAUCUAGGAUGCACGCCUUCUCCAACUCCAUAUGAUGCUAGUGUGUUGCUUCGAAAGAAUCGACAGAUUGCUAGAGAUCAACUGAGGUAUUCUCAGAUUAUUGGCUCGCUUAUGUAUUUGGCGAGUGCCACGAGGCCUGACAUCUCUUUUGCUGUGAGCAAACUGAGUCGGUUUGUGUCAAAACCGGGAGAUGAUCAUUGGCAUGCGCUUGAGAGAGUUAUGCGCUAUUUGAACGGCAUCGUGAGCUAUGGGAUUCACUACACCGGGUAUCCAAGGGUACUGGAGGGUUAUAGUGACUCAAAUUGGAUAUCUGAUGCUGGUGAGAUUAAUUCCACAAGUGGUUAUGGUUUUACACUUGGUGGAGGUGCUGUUUCCUGGAAGUCUUGCAAGCAGACCAUCUUAACGAGGUCAACUAUGGAAGCAGAACUCACAGCAUUAGACACUGCCACUAUUGAAGCGGAGUGGCUUCAUGAGCUCUUGAUGGACUUACCUAUGGUUGAAAAACCAAUACCCCCUAUCCCGAUGAACUGUGAUAAACAAACUGUGAUCGUCAAGAUAAACAGUUCUAAGGACAAUAUGAAGUCCUCAAGGCAUGUGAAGAGGAGACUAAAAUCUGUCAGAAAAUUGAGGAACUCCGGAGUUAUUACGUUGGAUUAUAUCCAAACGUCGAAAAAUUUGGCAGAUCCCUUCACAAAGGGUCUAUCACGUAAUGUGAUAGAUAAUGCAUCGAUGGAGAUGGGUCUGAGACCCACCGCGUGA
Molecule: ribosomal RNA, 1551 nt
Filed under: Triticum aestivum (bread wheat)
Lineage: Eukaryota; Viridiplantae; Streptophyta; Magnoliopsida; Poales; Poaceae
Description: partial small subunit ribosomal RNA
Source: RNAcentral